GCGAGUCGAGAGGGUUCGGCCCUCGGCAGACUGCUCAGUAACACGUGGAUAACUUACCCUUAUGUGGAGGAUAAUCUCGGGAAACUGAGAAUAAUACUCCAUAGAUCUAGGCUGCUGGAAUGCAUCUAGAUCAAAAGCUCCGGCGCCUAAGGAUAGGUCUGCGGACUAUCAGGUUGUAGUCAGGGUAAAGACCUGACUAGCCUACGACGGAUAUGGGUUGUGAGAGCAAUAGCCCAGAGACGAUAUCUGAGACACGAUAUCGGGCCCUACGGGGCGCAGCAGGCGCGAAAUCUUCACAAUGUGCGAAAGCACGAUGAGGGAAUCCCAAGUGCUAGCACGUAAGUGUUAGCUGUUUCUUAGUCUAAAAAACUCAGAGAGUAAGGGCUGGGUAAGACGGGUGCCAGCCGCCGCGGUAAUACCUGCAGCUCAAGUGGUGGCCGCUAUUAUUGGGCCUAAAACGUCCGUAGCCUGUUUAGUAAAUGCCUGGGUAAAUUGUGUAGCUUAACUAUACGAAUACCGGGUAGACUGCUAAACUUGGGACCGGGAGAGGCUAGAGGUACUCCUAGGGUAGAGGUGAAAUU
This 581-nucleotide ribosomal RNA is filed under the name uncultured archaeon. RNAcentral describes it as "bacterial SSU rRNA". It matches the Rfam family "Archaeal small subunit ribosomal RNA", at positions 53 to 639 of the family's 1478-position model. The record is from RNAcentral.